GACGAACGCUGGCGGCGUGCGUAAUACAUGCAAGUCGAACGCUUCUUUCCUCCCGAGUGCUUGCACUCAAUUGGAAAGAGGAGUGGCGGACGGGUGAGUAACACGUGGGUAACCUACCCAUCAGAGGGGGAUAACACUUGGAAACAGGUGCUAAUACCGCAUAACAGUUUAUGCCGCAUGGCAUAAGAGUGAAAGGCGCUUUCGGGUGUCGCUGAUGGAUGGACCCGCGGUGCAUUAGCUAGUUGGUGAGGUAACGGCUCACCAAGGCCACGAUGCAUAGCCGACCUGAGAGGGUGAUCGGCCACACUGGGACUGAGACACGGCCCAGACUCCUACGGGAGGCAGCAGUAGGGAAUCUUCGGCAAUGGACGAAAGUCUGACCGAGCAACGCCGCGUGAGUGAAGAAGGUUUUCGGAUCGUAAAACUCUGUUGUUAGAGAAGAACAAGGACGUUAGUAACUGAACGUCCCCUGACGGUAUCUAACCAGAAAGCCACGGCUAACUACGUGCCAGCAGCCGCGGUAAUACGUAGGUGGCAAGCGUUGUCCGGAUUUAUUGGGCGUAAAGCGAGCGCAGGCGGUUUCUUAAGUCUGAUGUGAAAGCCCCCGGCUCAACCGGGGAGGGUCAUUGGAAACUGGGAGACUUGAGUGCAGAAGAGGAGAGUGGAAUUCCAUGUGUAGCGGUGAAAUGCGUAGAUAUAUGGAGGAACACCAGUGGCGAAGGCGGCUCUCUGGUCUGUAACUGACGCUGAGCUCGAAAGCGUGGGGAGCAACAGGAU
RNAcentral lists this ribosomal RNA (777 nucleotides) under Enterococcus faecalis. RNAcentral describes it as "bacterial SSU rRNA". It matches the Rfam family "Bacterial small subunit ribosomal RNA", at positions 28 to 778 of the family's 1533-position model. The record is from RNAcentral. Lineage: Bacteria; Bacillati; Bacillota; Bacilli; Lactobacillales; Enterococcaceae.